Molecule: long non-coding RNA, 1082 nt
Filed under: Homo sapiens (human)
Lineage: Eukaryota; Metazoa; Chordata; Mammalia; Primates; Hominidae
Description: HSALNT0004437
Source: RNAcentral
CUCAGCCUCACAAAGUGCUGGGAUUAUAGGCGUCAGCCACAGUGCCUGGCCCAUAGGGGGGUCUUAUGUGGGUGAGGGAGGGGGGCUCCUGUUGAGCAGUGAGUGGAUGAGUCAGGGCAGCUCUUUCCUCUAGCCAUCAGCAACCUCUGCCAGACCUUUGCACGGAGGCUUGGGGGAAACCCAUCAAGGCCACAGUCCUGGACAGGACCUGGGAGAGUGGCCCUGUAGGUUUGGUCAACUCAGUGUGUGUCAAUGGGAAAAACCGAGAUCAUCCCCUCAAAGUAGAGAUAGCCAGAGUGAGGCCACAGCGAUUUUAUUUGGAGAAUGAAGGGCAGAACCACAGAGAUCUCAGGAGGGAGGGCAAAGGUAACUCAUCGUCAUCCACAGAGAGGGGACUCAGGAUUACGCUGUGCGUCCAGGCCAUCUUCCCUCCCAGCCCAGCCUUGGCACAAGUCGGCCCCAGGAUCAUCAUGUGAUAGAGCCUGAAGCCUGUCUCCCCAAGUCCCUGGAAAGUAGACAUCUGUGACAAUCCUCCCGAAUCCCAGGGCACAGGGAGCAUGGCUGAGCACGCCAGACUGCCUGGGCUCAAAUUCUGUCCUGCCAUGAACUGCCUGGGUGUCUUUGGACAAGUCAUUUGACAGCUCUGAGCCUCCGCCUUCUCAUCUGAGGACAACAGGAAUAAUGAGGGUACCCACCUCAUGGGGAUGUGAUGAGGCUUAAAGAAGAAAAUGCAUGCAAAGUUUUAGCACAGUACCUGGCAGUGAGUAUAUGUGCAAUAAUAUUAAUUAUUACUAUUUUAUCAAGAGGCCUGGAUUCUGGUCCCAGUUCUGCCACUGUUUUCCCUCCCUGGGCCUGCUUGAGUUUCUGUCUAUAAAGUAGGUGUUAAUUGAUUAAAUGAGAUAAUGGAUGCCAAAGAAGCUUCUGAGAUGAGUGAUUAUUUCUGCCCUUUGAAGUUCACUUCCCCGAGGCUGCAGGGUGUUGUCACCCCCACUCUGUCAGGUCUUUACUGGGCUCUCCGUCUAGGCCAGGACCCGUUGCUGAAGGGUCAGCCCAUCUCCUCCCUUCUGCCCACAAGGCAGAAU